GUAGGGAAUAUUGGACAAUGGGGGGAACCCUGAUCCAGCCAUGCCGCGUGGAGGAAGACUGCCCUCUGGGUUGUAAACUCCUUUUAUAUGGGAAGAACCGUCCUCAUUAAUGAGUGACCUGACGGUACCAUAGGAAUAAGCACCGGCUAACUCCGUGCCAGCAGCCGCGGUAAUACGGAGGGUGCAAGCGUUAUCCGGAUUCACUGGGUUUAAAGGGUGCGUAGGCGGAUAAAUAAGUCAGUGGUGAAAUCAACGGGCUCAACCUGUUAACUGUCAUUGAUACUGUGUAUCUUGAAUAUGAGAGAGGUAGGCGGAAUGUUGCAUGUAGCGGUGAAAUGCUUAGAUAUGCUACGGAACACCGAUUGCGAAGGCAGCUUACUAUUUCGUAAUUGACGCUGAGGCACGAAAGCGUGGGUAGCGAACAGGAUUAGAAACCCUUGUAGUCC
RNAcentral lists this ribosomal RNA (446 nucleotides) under uncultured bacterium. Its description in RNAcentral is "partial 16S ribosomal RNA". It matches the Rfam family "Bacterial small subunit ribosomal RNA", at positions 354 to 796 of the family's 1533-position model. The record is from RNAcentral.